GACCCGAAACCCGGUGAUCUAGCCAUGGGCAGGUUGAAGGUUGGGUAACACUAACUGGAGGACCGAACCGACUAAUGUUGAAAAAUUAGCGGAUGACCUGUGGCUGGGGGUGAAAGGCCAAUCAAACCGGGAGAUAGCUGGUUCUCCCCGAAAGCUAUUUAGGUAGCGCCUCGUGAAUUCAUCUCCGGGGGUAGAGCACUGUUUCGGCUAGGGGGCCAUCCCGGCUUACCAACCCGAUGCAAACUGCGAAUACCGGAGAAUGUUAUCACGGGAGACACACGGCGGGUGCUAACGUCCGUCGUGAAGAGGGAAACAACCCAGACCGCCAGCUAAGGUCCCAAAGUCAUGGUUAAGUGGGAAACGAUGUGGGAAGGCCCAGACAGCCAGGAUGUUGGCUUAGAAGCAGCCAUCAUUUAAAGAAAGCGUAAUAGCUCACUGGUCGAGUCGGCCUGCGCGGAAGAUGUAACGGGGCUAAACCAUGCACCGAAGCUGCGGCAGCGAACGUAUCACCCAAGACAACUUUACGGAGUUGACGAUUGACGGAGCGAAGCGACGUCAAAGCGUUCAUUAAAGUCGAGUUGGCUUAGGGAUACGUUCGUUGGGUAGGGGAGCGUUCUGUAAGCCUGUGAAGGUGUGUCGUGAGGC
RNAcentral lists this ribosomal RNA (645 nucleotides) under Salmonella enterica subsp. enterica serovar Typhimurium. RNAcentral describes it as "partial 23S ribosomal RNA". It matches the Rfam family "Bacterial large subunit ribosomal RNA", at positions 712 to 1269 of the family's 2925-position model. Lineage: Bacteria; Pseudomonadati; Pseudomonadota; Gammaproteobacteria; Enterobacterales; Enterobacteriaceae. The record is from RNAcentral.